Peromyscus eremicus (cactus mouse) is the source of this 91-nucleotide small nucleolar RNA. RefSeq annotates it as small nucleolar RNA SNORD91 family. The record is from RefSeq and is a predicted model, not a curated record. Lineage: Eukaryota; Metazoa; Chordata; Mammalia; Rodentia; Cricetidae. The transcript has a single exon.
CUUAGGAGCCGAUGAUGUUUUCCUUCAAGAUGUCUGAACCUGUCUGAAGCAUCCCAGUGAUGCAAACUAUUGUGCUGAGGCUUCUCUGCUC